RNAcentral lists this ribosomal RNA (253 nucleotides) under uncultured bacterium. RNAcentral describes it as "partial 16S ribosomal RNA". It matches the Rfam family "Bacterial small subunit ribosomal RNA", at positions 524 to 776 of the family's 1533-position model. The record is from RNAcentral.
UACAGAGGGGGCAAGCGUUGCUCGGAAUUACUGGGCGUAAAGGGCGCGUAGGCGGGAUGGCAAGUCGGUCGUGAAAUCCCUCGGCUCAACCGAGGAACGUCGAUCGAUACUGCUGUUCUUGAGGAUUGCAGAGGAGACUGGAAUUCCCGGUGUAGCGGUGAAAUGUGUAGAGAUCGGGAGGAACACCGGUGGCGAAGGCGGGUCUCUGGGCAAUUCCUGACGCUGAGGCGCGAAAGCGUGGGGAGCAAACGGG